RNA transcript from Halichondria panicea, 7695 nucleotides. It is a transcript of the gene named acylamino-acid-releasing enzyme-like, with no coding region annotated. The record is from RefSeq and is a predicted model, not a curated record. The transcript has 12 exons. Lineage: Eukaryota; Metazoa; Porifera; Demospongiae; Suberitida; Halichondriidae.
AAACAGAUACUACACUUCGCCCAUGUGUAAUAAGAUGCUAAAUUGAUUUCAAUGACACCGGGUACACAUGAAAUAAGUGGUAUGGGCAAAGUGUAGGUAUCUCUGUAGUAUUAAAUGUUUGGAGGAAAUAAUAUUAUGAAUUAAUUACUGUAUUACUAGAAUAUUUUGCUAGUGAAAAACCUUUGCGAAUGAGCCAAAUCAGCAGAAAAUUUGACCCUUUGGCGAUCUAACUAUUGCGUUCUGGCAAGGAUCGUGUGUAUUUACUAGUAAUAAUUUGGUUUUGCUGGUUUUAUUCUUGCAAAUUGAUCAACCCUCACAAAGUUCGUAAUUCUAGUAAUACGGUAUAGAAAAGUCCUCAUGGGAAAAUGUUUUCGUUUUAGCUUUUCAGAAUGAAAGCCUCAAUGCCAUUAUUAGCUUCUGAAAUUAAGAAUUUGCAGGUUAGAUAUGAACUGCGUGUCCGCUGGCUUGUUUGGCAUGGUCCUACUAUGAAUGCUCGUGGUAUGGAUGGACCCAUGCACAACUGUAGCUUAGUGUUUAUCUGGGAACUAUCGUGUAUAGGUAUAAAUUUUCGCUCAUAGUGUGAGCAGACGUAAAUUCUAACGAUCAUUCGGCGAAGUUUAUAUACCCUUUAACUACGGUCGCAAGAGUGUUGCAAUAACUAGAGUGUCAUAUCCGGUGCGCGGAUAUUAUUAACAUUUUGGCAGUAUCGGGACUAAGCUGGAGUCACGUGUCCCAUGGGCGACAGGUCGAAGGUCACGUGACUGUGGUUAGGUUUUGGGGGAGUUUGAGACGGUAGGACAGGUGAGGUUGAGAGAUGAAGGCGUCUGACAGUGUGGACCGUGCAGUAGGACUCGAAAAUCGAGCAGCCGUCAAAGCACUUGUGAGGCAGUUCUGUAAGCUUGCACGUGUAGGCUACGCAUGCGCGGUAGCUUAGCAAGAAGGGGCACGCCCGUAUGUCUGAGUGCCCCUUAUCUCGAGGUAAGGCCGCUCCCUCGUUAACUACAUUUAACUACCGUAAACUACAUUGAAAUAAUUAUAAGCACUAGCUCUAUAUUCUGCAUGUUUAAUACAUGUAUCAUACAUUAAAAAUGUUUUUCAUUCGUACGGAAAAUGGAAAUCGUUUCACGCACUCCUGCGUUUCCUAGAAACGCCACUGCGUCGCAUGAUAUGCCUCAACUAUGCCUCAGUACAAGCAGGAGCCCAUAAAUAAGAGAAGGAGCGGCUAACUUCAACGUAUACUCGGGAUCACGUUUUAUAAUUGCCGGUGAAACCGCACUUCCUUGUAUGGAAGCGACUAAGUGCUUGCAAACUGCAGCCCUGCAUUGCGUAUAACACGUGUAGGGAUUCAACCACUUAAGUGACUCUGCAUAUAUGGAAAUGCGGUCAUAACCACUUACCCAAUGUGAUCCCCGUAGUCAGCCGCUCCUUCUCUUAUUUAUGGGCUCCUGGUAUAUGGUAAACAGCUUCAGGCCGUGGGGAAAAUCAGCUGAAUACCGGCCUGUAUAUAUAUGCGGAUGUAAUUGCGCACGGCCUGCUUACAUCCUGGAAGCCCAUGCAGGCUCGUUACAGCUCCUACAUCCACGUCCUGAAUACAGCAUUGAUUAACCAAUUGUGGCUAUAUGAAUGGAGAGCACUGCAUGCAUGGUUUAGUUAAUAUAAUUAUACUAUAGUUUAACAAAUACUUUGUCGCCUGUAAAGCUGUGGCUCGCUUGGUAUUUGCUCUGUAUUACAUGCAUUGUAAUCCUCCAUAUGUCUUCGACCACCAGCGUUCAGUUUUGUUUUAUUAAACAAUAAAAGAAGUGAAAGACUGGAAGUCUGAAACACCUGCUGAAUUAAUUUAGAAACCGUUCGGGCACUUCCUGGAAAGCAACUCGGCACUUUCUGUUAUCUAAUGCCAACACGUACAUAACUUUUAGUGAACUAGCACAUGAAUGUUUGGUAUACUGUCAUCAUUGAUACAGUUGCAUAGUAAAGGCCACGUACCUAUAUAUACCAUGAACAUAGUAGAGGCCACGUACCUAUAUAUACCAUGAACAUAGUAGAGGCCAUAUACCUACCAUGAACAUAGCCUGUAAAUACUAUAGCCUAGGUACUGGGAGGGAAAAACCAGUUUAUUUUUUAAUCAUCUGGAGGAGCGGCCCUAUACUUGCUCUGGAGAAGUUCUCUGUUCUGUUGUAUUGUGAAGUUCUGUUGUAUUGUGAUUGACUGGCUUGGACCUGGAGAGUUCUGGGAUUGGAGGGAGUGGCUGAGCGUACAAGAUCCUGCAUGGAAGAAUCUCUUUCUUGAGGUCCUGGUACUGUGGGUUCAUGCGUGGUCAAGAGGGGGAAGUCCCCUUGACGGUGUCCUUCAAGCCUGGCUAUACCGAGGGAGCACUCAUAGUUAUCAUGAGCACACGCACACAAUCCCACACACGCACACACACAGGAGCAUCUCCGUUGGGUGGGGCUCACUUGUGUACUGCAGGUCACUAACACACUAGCAACAAUUGAAGAAGUCUCCUUUCAGGACUACACACUAUCCAAUCAUUUCAUCUAAAGACCCUCCCCCUUCCCCUCCGGUCCAGCUGCCAGUGACAAAGGACUCUUACCAAGCGAGUCAAGCUCGACAUUGACACUGUAUCGAGACUAUUGCGUUUCUUUGCUUUUAUUUUCCAGGCCGGCAUGCGUAAUGUAUAAAUGUAUAAUACUGCACAUGUGUAACUUUGUUGUAGUGGGUGUAGUCAUUUGAACCAGGGGUAGAGGAUCGAGGUGUUGCUAUAUCUUCGAAAAUAAAAUCUACAAAAUAAUUAUUUUGCAUAGAUACAUGUACCAAAGAAACAGUUAGUGCAGCAGUGCAUAGUGCAUGGUGUGCUACAUGUGUCGCCAAUUUUGAAUUGAAAUACUUAUAAUAGCUAUAUAAUUGGUAGCUAUUAAUUAUAUAGUGUGUGACGUGAUAAAAAUUAAUUAAUAUUUAAUUUUGUCUGUUGUGUACUGCAGAAGCUGUUAAAUCGAUCAUUAAUCACACAAAUGAAUCUUGGGUCAAACAGUUUAUUAUUUUUUUAACUAUCUAUGAUUAAAUACUGUGAACAAAUAGCAAAUGGAUAAUUAAUUGUGUUUGGCAUAUAAUUAUAAGUAUUUACCGAGCUACGUAACAAAACUAUUAUGCCUUGCAUGGUUGCAUUUUUUAGCUGAACAUAAUACACCUUGUUUAUUUUGUACUACCCCUUCACUGUCUUGUGAUGUUAUUUUCCUGUCCUGGAGUGAUAUGUAUGUCAAGAAAUUGGCAAGUGCAUGAAUAGUCCUGGCUGGGGUCUGGGUGUGUCUGCCAUGCAUGAGGAAUUCCCUCAUGUUAACCUACAAGCUACGCCUCUCUUCUGCUUUGUUGAACAAGAGCCCUUCACAAAUUGAGCUACUGAGUUGAUCGAAAUUCACCUCGGGUCAAAAAUUAGUUGGUAUAAUUAUCGCUGUAAACAAUUGACAAUUGAUCGAAACGUAAGAAUGGAUAAAUUCAUUGCCAGCAUUCGCCGAAAGUAUAGAGAGAGAUCCUUAAAUCGUGAAGAGCAAUGGCCGCCAGUUUCUGGAGAAAGGCUCGUCAACUUGCAGUUAGUGGAGGCUGAAAAGAAAGAAGGAUUUAGAGCCGGCUUGCAACAACAUGGCACACUUAAUGGUCGUACUCCGAUUCUUCAUGGCGACCUAUUCAAAGUCGAAGAAGGCAAGAAACCAGUCAAGAAGCUCAUUAUUGAAGGCAAUGCUGGGAUUGGUAAAACCACACUGUGUACCAUACUUGCUGAAGGGUGGGCAGAGGGAAAGAUCCUGACACAAUUCGACUGUGUUCUGUUGCUUCCACUGAGAGAAAAUGAAGUUUCCUCUGCCACAAGUCUCGCUGAGCUGUUCAAACUUCUCCACUCCAGUGAGAGGAUCCGCACAUCUGUUAUAGAAGAGUUGGAGGAUAGAGAGGGAGAAGGUAUCCUCAUCAUAGCUGAUGGCUGGGACGAACUCAGUCAAGAAAACCGUUCCAAAGUAUCUUUUCUUUACAAACUUUUCUUCGGUGAUGUUCUUCCAUUUGCUUCUGUUCUCCUCACCUCACGACCUUCUGCUUCAGCUCCUCUUCACGACCUUCUUUCUGUCAACCGUUUGGUUGAGGUAGUCGGCUUCAAUGAGGAGAAUAUCAAGCAAUACAUAGAAUCAGAGUUUGAGCGAUUUCCAGAGAAAGCUUCUUCUCUUAUCGAGCAGCUUGAGAACAACCCAGUCAUUCAGAGUGUGUGUUCUGUGCCCCUCAAUUGCGCCAUUGUUUGUAACUUGUGGCACACUUUAGACCAAGAGCUUCCUCGUACGCUAACUCAGCUGUACACUCAAAUUGUUCUUAACAUUAUCCUUCGCAAUGUUAAAAAGAAGUUCCCUGAUUGUCCUAUUGGCCUCAAUAGCUUUGACAAGAUUCCCAAUGAUCUACAAAACACAUUUUGGUUGAUUUGUGAGUUUGCCUACGAAUGCUUAUUACUAGAUCAGCUGGUUUUCUCAGAAGAUGAUUUGUCCUCUCGCUUACCCGAAGUUGGUGACAAGUUGCAGUGCUUUGGUCUGUUGCAGUCUGCACGAUCACUUCUACCUGUUGGUCAUGGCCUGUCUUUUCACUUUGCUCACCUGACCAUCCAGGAGUUCUUGGCUGCCCUCCAUCUUGCUACUCUACCCAAUGAGGAGAAAUUGACGAGUUUUGAGGCUCGUGUUGAUAGUGGCCGGUUCAACAUGGUAGGGCGAUUUAUGUUUGGUCUUGCUAGUAAGUACAAUGGUAGUCGUAGUGAUAAGGUGAUCACUUUGGAUGAUAGUUUGAUGGAUCUAUUUCUGGUGGCUAAAAAACAUAACAGGCAUUUUUGUCAUUUGGCUUUUGAAUCUUUAGAUCCUAUCUUCUCAACAAAUGUUUGCAAAAUUUAUGGGAAAUUUCUAUUAGACUAUGGAUUAAAAAUUCUCAAGCUCCACCCUUUCGACCUUGCAGCUUGUUUCUAUGUCCUUCGUCAUGCUGAAGAAAGUGAUUUGGUUAUCAGAUUAAGAUAUUUUGCCAACGAUAAACAGUUGAAGGAACUAACUGACAUUCUUUCCAGUGCAUAUGGUAAACUUCAAGUCCAUGACUUAGCCCUUGUACAGACCAAGUUGUCUGAAGAAAGUAUUGCUGAUCUAUUCAAAAGAGCCUCCAUUGCCUUUACAUCUUUAAAAUUACUUCGGUUGGAGCAUAACAACUUCACUGACAUCAUGUCUUCAUUCAUGCACACAUCUUGUACGAGCCUCACAACACUGAGCUUAUCCCACAACUCUCUUGGAGUGUCUGGCAUACUGUCAUUAGAGACAGCUGUACAGUCUGGUGCUCUUAUCAACCUGGAGGAACUGGUGCUAUCUAAUACCUUCACUGAUGAUGCUGACGUCAAUGGAGCUCUAUUGACCACCCUCUUACAAUCCAUUGCCUCCCACUGUGCUCGACUGGUAGAAUUACAACUCUCUAUGAAUAAUCUUGGUUUACCUGGAUUAUGUUCAGUUGUGGAGAACAUUCCGUUAGGAUUGACUGACAUUGACUUAUCAGCUACCCAUCUCACCACUUCAUUUAACUCGGAGUAUCAACACAAAGUCACCUGUGAGAUGCUGGAUAUCAACCCAAACAGUUUAACAGUGAUGGACUUGUCUGGUUCCAAUUUCAGUGGAAUUGCUGGAACUCUCUUACUGGCAAAGUUACUAAUUGAAACAUUUCAAUCACUGGAACGUCUUUACUGCUCUGUCUGUUUUCUCACCUCUGCCGACAUCAUAAUGCUUAUCCACCAUCUCAAGUCCGCUAAUGUGAUGUGUAAAAAUUUAGUUACGUUGGAUCUCCAAGAAAACUCCAUUGAUGAUGAGGGAAUGAUAGCUCUCACUGAGUGUCUACCAGAGCUGUUUCCUAGUCUGAAUAUAUAUAACUUCCAUUUCUCUUUCAUGGGGAUGCAUGGUGUUUCUCUCUAUGGUAAUCCUGUGAGCGAGGAGUGGAUAUUCAUGUGCAACGAACAAUUGAAGACCAUACGGAAAUCACGGAAAACCGCAAUGCUGAUUGAGUGGAAGAGAACAUGUCUACCUCCACAAAAUGAAGAGAUGAAUCGUAUUUUCCAUUCUCUUUGGGAUAUGCUACUGUCAGAGAUGAUAGAGGAGGUUAGAUUGAUAUCUUCAGCUGUUUUUGACAGCAUCCUUUCAUGGUCAUUAGCUAACAAACCAGUAGAGCACCACCCCACAGCUAGUGACGAGGCUACUUGUACUACAGCCCAAUCUACACACGGAACAGAGCAACAUACUGCAUGUACAACAAUAUACACACAAUCUACAGCUGCUGUACCAUCCGAUGUCACUAAAGAAGGAAAAACAUCACAAGAUGUCCUCACUUCAGGAGCUGGUGGACCAAGGACUGUGACCAUUGAGGAAUUGAAGGAGCGUACAAAAGUGACCGACUCUCAACUUGACACUGAAAUUGAAGAGACAGACAUGUUGGACCUGGCAGAUCACUUUGACAAUGUUGAGACCUACCCUGCUAUGCUGGGACUGAGCCCUGCUGAACAGAAAGAUGUUAAAUAUGCUUUGUUUCUCAAUGACAUGCAAACAGCAAUGUUUCAUACUCUAAAGGUGUGGAGACAGCAUAAUCCAGGUGCAGCCACGUACCGAGCACUAGUGGACAUUGUACUGGAUAUGAGAAUGGAAGAAUUGGCCACUUACAUUUGUCAGUCAGCAGCUAAAAAACCUGAACCUGUGAUGUGCAAUAGAACCUAACUCAUUAUUGUGCAUGUCAUACUUAUACUGUUUUAAUUAGUGCACUGUCUUAAUUAGUCUUUGUGGUACAAUUUACGCUAUUAUAGUUUCUAAUAAUUAUUGAACAAAUAGCAAAUAGUAAGGUCUUUGGCGUAUAAUUAUAAGUACUAUCGAGCUACGUAAUAAUAAUAUUAUUAUGCUUUGAGGUAUAUACAGCAUUUAUAAAUAUUCUCAUUAAGUAGCAGUGGAAUUAUUAUAAUUAUAGAGCAUAUACUAGCUGAUUUCAUUACCGUAAUUACAGUGCCAGAAAAAAUUUUUUCCACGGCCUGAGUGGCACGGUACAUAUUUUAGAACACCAAAAAUUGUGUUCAGCCCAAUUAUGGGUGGGGCUUACGUUUUAUAAGCACCAAAGAAAAACUUACAGUAGGCGCUACGUAUGUCUUUUAUGGCCUCAAAAAUGAUGGUGAUGCAUUCAUGCUGACAUGGCACUUAAAUUAUGGUGGCACUGUGAUUAUUAUCAUUACGUAAAAUUACUAAUUCCAAUCAUUGUGAUGUUUUCUUCUAGCAACCCUAGCUGGCAGAGCCUCAGCUGAGGUUAGAUCUGCCCUAGCCUCGAUUCCAGGCCGAUUAAUGCGGCCUGGAAUCAAGCCAAUAUACACUGCGUUCUGAAUUCGAGGCUGCUAGGCUCUGCUAUGUUAGACACAUUGUUGUGUUGCGAUCUUUACCUAACACUAGUUAUGAUGGCUGCUGAACUUGGAGUGAGUGUGUUCACUAAGUUAGCUGGUGUUCCAAGUUUAAGUGGAGCUAGAAUAAUUCCAGGCGGAGAGAAACAACCUACUGAGAUUGAAGCAAGAUGGUCUCAGAGAGAAUUGGUGAGAGGCAAGAACAUCGUGUUCAGUAAGUCCUACUUUGUGGGGGAGGGGCUGAGUCUCCUCUGCUCCACCGCUCACCAGUCCAUCACGUCAUCUGU